Scatophagus argus is the source of this 332-nucleotide long non-coding RNA. RefSeq lists it as uncharacterized. The transcript is spliced from 2 exons. The record is from RefSeq and is a predicted model, not a curated record. Lineage: Eukaryota; Metazoa; Chordata; Actinopteri; Scatophagidae.
CGAGAGGCGGGGUUCACCCUGGACUGGUUGCCAGUCAAUCGCAGGGCCGUCACACAAACACAGAUUCAGAGGAUCUGGAGAAAUCUCUGCAUUGUAAGGGACAAGGCCAAAAACCAACACUGAAUGCCCAGGACCUUCAAUCCCUCAGGCAGCAGUUCAUUAAAAACUGACAUGAUUUGUAUAAGGGAUUUUACUACAUGAGCUGUGGAACACACAGGAAACACACUGUCAGUAAGCACAGUUUGUUGUUGCAUCUACAAAAACUAUUCUUACAAAGCAAAAGUCACAUAACAACAACAUCCAAGAAAAUAAAAAGUAAAGUUUGAACAUGA